RNAcentral lists this ribosomal RNA (385 nucleotides) under uncultured eukaryote. RNAcentral's name for it is "partial 18S ribosomal RNA". It matches the Rfam family "Eukaryotic small subunit ribosomal RNA", at positions 592 to 976 of the family's 1831-position model. The record is from RNAcentral.
CAAUAGCGUAUAUUAAAGUUGUUGCAGUUAAAAAGCUCGUAGUUGGAUUUCUGGCCGGGGCGACCGGUCGGCGCCCUAGCGGCGUGUGCACUGUCGUCGGCCCUGGCCAUCUGCGUUAGGACGGCCGCUGGCAUUAAGUUGUCGGCGGUCUGACUGGCGCCGUUUACUGUGAAAAAAUUAGAGUGUUUAAAGCAGGCGAUCGCUGUGAAUACAUUAGCAUGGAAUAAUGAGAUAGGACUUUGGUACUAUUUUGUUGGUUUGCGCACCAAGGUAAUGAUUAAUAGGGAUAGUUGGGGGUAUUCAUAUUCAAUUGUCAGAGGUGAAAUUCUUGGAUUUAUGGAAGAUGAACUUAUGCGAAAGCAUUUACCAAGGAUGUUUUCAUUAA